UUGAGAAAACAGUGAACCCUGUCUCUCCCGUGUCAGUGCUAUGUGAAGUCCAGCCAGCCCAGAGCUUUAAAAUUCAGCCUGCUGAUUACUGCUGCGCCCAGCCCAGAGUGAGCACGGGGCUGGACUGUGUCCGCCAACAGACAUGAGGUUUGGGAUGCACGGAUUUCAUUCCUACUGGCAGAGUUAGGCGGUGAUGCUGUGUUGCUGCUCUCCUUGUACUUUAACCCUGGCUGUCUUGCCUCGGUAAAACCACAGGUCUCUUGGCCACAGAUGUACUGAUGCACCAAGCUGGCAUUGCUAGGGCUGCGUACCAGCAGGGAUGGUGCUGCUUCAGUAGGUUGGUUUCCAGCUGGAAAGUUAAAGGAGAACACAUGAGCCUGAAGGAAAAUACCGUUUUGCUGUCUUUUUCUUCUUCAUUUUAAAAAUAGACCGCAGGCUCUUUAACAGCAUACUGCAGCACCCGCUGCUUGCUGAAAAUCCCGAGGCCAGCGCGCUGGAGCACUGCGAUGCCAAACACGCCCGUCACAAAGUGCCGCAUUUAGGGGGCUUUCACUGGAGGUAGCUGAUGAAAAACAGAAUGGACACGUUGUAAGAACCGUCAGCCCAAGGAACAGAAGAUAGCUUUGAAGGAAUCCUCAAAGUCCUUUAGAAAGAGAGUCCUUUAGAAAAAAAAAAGGAAAAUCCAGAGAAUGAAAUACGGCCAGAAUGAGCUCACUGCAGGUGGCGUUGGUCGUGACUCGCACAGAGGAUCUUCGCGUGUAAUGCCAUCUGAUUUCUCAGCAAACCUGCAAGGCAGGCUGCUUCUCAGCGGUCUCUGUCUCUUGAUGCCGCACUCAUCCCACCGUUAGACAGGGAUCGUUGAAACAGAAGAAUAGAAAUGAUCGCUGGACCAUUUAAUGCAACCUUGUGUAUCACAUGAUGCAGGAAUUACUUAAUGAAAUUCCCUGGCCCAAACCAAGCAAAUCUGUGGUAAAUCUAGAGCACAUAUUUUAGGAUGACAGCCAAAAUGAUGAAAGGAAUUUACUACCCAGCCUUGCUAAUCAUUUUGAACGCUCAACUGGUCUCCCUAACAUGUAGCUUUGUAAGCAGCGAUACUAACACGGCCUCAUUUCCUACAGAUUCCUCCUCCAGACUUCCCACCCAUGCUGAGCACCCCAAAAAUCCCCUCCCAGUCCCCUCCCAGCUCUGCCAGGGCCGGGGGGCGAUGGGGCACGGAGCUCUCAUUCCUUGCUGCCAGCCUCCGGGAAGAGACGGAGGCCCCAGGUUGCAGCUGCCUCUCCUGCCACGCAGGUUUGGGGUGCUUCUCUUUCCCCGUUGUUUCCCUGAAGCUUACAGGCACUUAGUGUCUUUGAGAGGCCACCUACAAAUGUGGUAGAAAUUGGCUUUUGGGGUCAGAAGCCAUUUGAGAUGGGUUGAUCAAUAGGUGCUUUCUUUAGAAACCAAACUAGAAAUGGAAGGUAUUUGUGUCACUUUAGCUUCUAACCAUUAGAUCUCAUUUAUUUUUGUCUUGGCUAGAAUAAAAUGCAAAGAAGCACAGGGUAGCAUCUUUUUGUAUUACACAUGCAUGCCUUUGGGUUUGUCUCCUGCAGGGAUUUCCCUGGCCUGGUUGGUUGUGCCUUCAAGGUCUUGUACCAUGGCCUUGUUGACAGAUGACAUCCCGCAUUUCCAACCUCAAGCUCCCUCUUGUGCCCCCCCAAAUAUGAACAUUCCUAAAAAAUGCACGUUCUGAAUUCUGGGAUUGUUUUUGAGUGUUAAAACACUUUAGAUAUCUUGAAGUACCUGAAACAGCUGCACAGGGCUGGCAGACAUGCCACAGCAGUCCAAGAAAGUUGCAUUUUCUAGCACAGAGCCUGGAGGCUGAGCUCGAAGUUGUACGACACUCCAAGUGACACUAAAUGCCGAUGUUUAGACUGCUAAACACACCUGCUUUUUUGUGAAGCUGUAUUUGGGUCACUUUGUAACAAGAGGAUCUUGGAAAGAGACUGUACUGAGCAGGCAUGAAGUGCUCUGCACCAGAGCAGGUUGUUCUUGUGACUGCUCAGAAGAUGACGGCUGCAGAAUUUGAAGCCAACGGGGCGCACUGUUAUCUCAGUAAAGGUUAAAGCAUUGAAAUAAAGAAGCCUUACUGAAGUAAUGCUUAUGUUCUCUGCAAAAACAUGCUCAGAUUUUAGCAGAUGUGAUGAUGUUGAGCCUUCCCGGUUGCCAACACCCCAUGGCUCUCCAACAUCUUUGAUUAUUUUAUUAUUCCAUACUGCCUGCACGUUGUAGGAGUCAGUGUUAUUUCUCCUAACAAUCCCUGGUUUCCAACUGUCAAUCCCUCUUUGACAUGCUGUUUUAAACAAGGGGUGAAGAGCAGUCAUGAAGCUGAAGGCCCACUGUAAAAGUACGGCAGCAUUCCAGGGCACUGACUGCACAUAUAGCAGCACACUUCGCUGUCCUGUUGCGGACUGCUGCUGUGAUAUGCCGAAGGUGUUAGUGGUUGUGGCUGUGCUGUAAGGA
Long non-coding RNA from Cygnus atratus (black swan), 2499 nucleotides. RefSeq lists it as uncharacterized. The transcript has 5 exons. NCBI's taxonomy places the organism in Eukaryota, Metazoa, Chordata, Aves, Anseriformes, Anatidae. The record is from RefSeq and is a predicted model, not a curated record.